This 93-nucleotide transfer RNA is filed under the name Fusarium tricinctum. RNAcentral's name for it is "tRNA-Ala". It matches the Rfam family "tRNA". Rfam says of the family: Transfer RNA (tRNA) molecules are approximately 80 nucleotides in length. Their secondary structure includes four short double-helical elements and three loops (D, anti-codon, and T loops). The record is from RNAcentral. Lineage: Eukaryota; Fungi; Ascomycota; Sordariomycetes; Hypocreales; Nectriaceae.
GGGCGAAUGGUUUAGUGGUAUAAUACUCCCUUAGCAAGUUUCCUCCGAAACCCAAAUUGGGAGUGGUCCAGGGUUCGAUUCCCUGUUCGUCCA